This is a non-coding RNA of Gasterosteus aculeatus aculeatus (three-spined stickleback), 300 nucleotides long. The record is from RefSeq and is a predicted model, not a curated record. NCBI's taxonomy places the organism in Eukaryota, Metazoa, Chordata, Actinopteri, Perciformes, Gasterosteidae.
GAGUUUAUUACUGUGUGGCCACCAAUCAGCUUGGUGAUCAAACAUCAUCAGAGAUCCAUCUGAAUAUAGGAGGUGAUCAACUGGUUGGUGCUCAAGUCAUCGUGAAGGUCCUGGGAAUCAUUCUGCUCGUCACUACUUUGCUCAUCUUUGAGUGCUGGUUGAAAUCAAGACGCUGCACCAAACCACAGGAGGUAAGACAUCAGAAGAGGAGAGAUAUUUCAUGAUCAGGCCCUUGUUUGGUUUACAACAUUAGCACAGGAAUAAUCUUUCAAUGGUGGUGAUGUUUAAAGAGCAGAGUCU